UUGCCUCAGUAACGGCGAGUGAAGCGGCAACAGCUCAAAUUUGAAAUCUGGCCCUCUCAGGGUCCGAGUUGUAAUUUGGAGAAGAUGCUUCGGGUGUGGCCCCGGUCUAAGUUCCUUGGAACAGGACGUCACAGAGGGUGAGAAUCCCGUACGUGACCGGUGGCCUCCCCCGUGUGAAGCUCUUUCGACGAGUCGAGUUGUUUGGGAAUGCAGCUCAAAAUGGGUGGUAAAUUUCAUCUAAAGCUAAAUAUUGGCCAGAGACCGAUAGCGCACAAGUAGAGUGAUCGAAAGAUGAAAAGCACUUUGGAAAGAGAGUUAAACAGUACGUGAAAUUGUUGAAAGGGAAGCGCUUGCAACCAGACUUGCGCGCGGCCGAUCAUCUGGUGUUCUCACCGGUGCACUCGGCCGCGCUCAGGCCAGCAUCGGUUUGGGUGGCUGGAUAAAGGCCUCGGGAAUGUGGCUCUCUUCGGGGAGUGUUAUAGCCCGAGGUGCAAUGCAGCCUACCCGGACCGAGGACCGCGCUUCGGCUAGGAUGCUGGCGUAAUGGUUGUAAGCGACCCGUCUUGAAACACGGACCAAGGAGUCUAACAUCUAUGCGAGUGUUUGGGUGUCAAACCCAUACGCGUAAUGAAAGUGAACGGAGGUGAGAACCCUUAAGGGUGCAUCAUCGACCGAUCCUGAUGUCUUCGGAUGGAUUUGAGUAAGAGCAUAGCUGUUGGGACCCGAAAGAUGGUGAACUAUGCCUGAAUAGGGUGAAGCCAGAGGAAACUCUGGUGGAGGCUCGCAGCGGUUCUGACGUGCAAAUCGAUCGUCAAAUUUGGGCAUAGGGGCGAAAGACU
RNAcentral lists this ribosomal RNA (839 nucleotides) under Helotiales sp. Its description in RNAcentral is "partial large subunit ribosomal RNA". It matches the Rfam family "Eukaryotic large subunit ribosomal RNA", at positions 75 to 932 of the family's 3401-position model. The record is from RNAcentral. Lineage: Eukaryota; Fungi; Ascomycota; Leotiomycetes; Helotiales.